AGGGGCAGCUUCCAAAGGUGGAGAGGACUUGGGGUAGGUUGGAAGAGAGUACUUGAACUAUUCAUGUCGAGCAUAUGAGGAGACGGCCUAACUCACCUGCCAUCCCCUCCUAGAUCCACCACUGCUACGAAUCUUUCCUCCGUAACUUUGGAGAAUUCACUUAAACUGUCUAAUUCACCAACUGCAAAAUGGGACUAGCGCACUCAAAAAGGGAGGGACUGGUGCUGGUCUGAAGGUGAUGGUGGUGCUUACGGGUGUUCACCUGCGGACCUAAGGAUGCUGACAGUGGAGGAAUCCAAGCACCAAGACAUCUGGGAGCACCCAGAUCAUUCGGUCUUUAUGACAGAUGCCGAACACCAUAGAAUUCUAAGAGAUGGCCAGGAGAAGGAAGUCUUCAUUGUGGGCUGCAUAUAUGCAAUGCUACCCGUGGCACGUCAUCUGAGGAAGUUCCCUCGCAGUGUAAAUGGAAUUGGAGCUGCUAAACCCACCUAAUGAAGUUUAAAAUCUCAGGAAUAAUGUGUGAUGCUGGUGGAAGUACUGUACUUAUAAUUUGAUGGUUUCACAGAGUACCAGCUACUUCUCUUCAUGGCUUUCCAUCUUGUGUGCUUGAUGAGAAACGAAAAGUCUCUCAGAUUAAUUCCAAACUUCAGAAUGACCAAUUUUCCUUUGAGAUGCCUCACAUUCUGCUUGAUUUUCAUUGGUCAGGCUGGACUAACUGCUCAUGAGAGAUACAGGAAAGUGAGCUUAUACUGCCUGUUUUUCCAGAAGCUCUCCUUCAACAGCAUCUCAUCCUUGAUACCAGAAAACACAGCGUAUGGGAGUUAUAAUAAAUAGGCAAAGUGGUACUUCUGUUUAAACGGAUCAUUCAAAAGAUCUAACACAGUGAUCUACACUCUACUUCCUCUAGAUCAGUGGUUCUCAACUGUGGUUUUGCUGGGAGCACUUAUGGAGUUUGCUUUAAUAUGAAUGGCCCAUCUGGGAGAUCUUGAUUUUGUAGAUGUGUGAUGGAGCUGAAAACCUGUUUAAAGAGCUUCACAGGUGAUUCCGAUGCAUACCUAGAGGGUGAACCACUGUUUUAAUAAAUUUAAAUUAAAAAUGUUAACAGAAGUACAACUAUCCAUUCCUAAACAUUCACAACAUUCUGAAUCUCCCACUCCACAGACUCCUUCUUCCUGUCUAUAAAACAUGCUCUGUGUUCUGACUGUAAAAACAAUACAAAACAAACUUCGACCACUUUUGUUCAUCUCUAUACUUCUCCAGAGUGAUUGCAAUCAAUAUCUUUAUUUUCUCUCCACUUUUUCUUCCUGAAAACCCUGAGAUCUUGCUUCUAUCUAUGCUACUUAUGAGAUAAUAGAAAAUACAUAGAUUGGUCUCUGUCCCCAUUUCCUGGCAUAGACCUCCAAAGUCCCUUGUAAUUUCCUAAGUGGCAAGAGCACUAGGAACAUCUUUUGUUCUAACGAGCCAACUCUGGGUGGGCUCCUGGUCACCAGACAGAUCAAGCCAUGAUUAGAAGCUUGGAAUUCUCAGCUCCGCCCCUCACCCUCCAGAAGCGGGAGAAGGGCUGAAAAUGGAGUUAAUAAUUGACCAUGCCUACAUGAGGAAGCCUCCAUGAUAUCCCAGUAGUAUGGGUUUCAAAGAGCUCCCACAUCCACAUGCUGGGAGGGUGACGCACCCCAACUCCAUGGGGACGAAGCUCCUGCGCUCAUGACCCUCCGACAUCUCGCCCUAUGCAUCUCUUCAUCUGGCUGUUAUCUGUAUCCUUUAUAUCCUUUAAUAAACUGGCAAAUGUGUUUCCCUGAGUUCUGUGAGCCACUCUAGCAAACUAAUCGAACCUGAGGAGAUGGCCAUGGGAACCUCUAAUUUGUAGCCAAAUUGGACAGAAGUUGUGAGUAACCUGGGGACUUACUCCUUGUGAUUGGCAUCUGAAGGGGGGUGGGAGCAGUCUUAUGGGGCUGAGCCCUUAACCUGUGGGAUGUGACGCUAUCUCCAGGUAGAUUUCAUUUAAAAAUAACAAUAAACUUAUUAUACAUCAACACAAGUAAUAUAUUUUAUUAAAAACAAUUUUUUAAAAAUUUAGUGAGAUGAGUGCCAUUGCUUUACAUUUUUGUAAAUCUCUUUAAUGUCUGGCUUAAUAAAAGACAGCUGGAUUCUCAGUCUGCUCUCCUAUGUUGUUUUGCUUAAAGUAUAUGGAGAAAAUUAGGCCUUUCACAGAUACGUAGUUGGAAAAGAAAAAUGUAUUUUUGAAGGCUUUUCAAAUAGUUGUCAAUAUUAUUUUUAAUAUGUCACCAAAAUUUGACAAAUGGCAGCUUCAGAAAGGUUAGUUGCAAUGUGUAAUCUGAAACCACAUUAACAAACUUUACACCCUGUUACAUUAAGUUCCAUUGGUCUAUUUUAUGCUUUGAAUGGAUCUUUUACCCAUGCCGGAUUUUGUAACAUACACUGGUCAUUUGGAAAAUAUUGGCUCACUGAGAUCUUCCAAAUGUUGACAUAUCAUAUUAUCAACAAUAUCAUCAGAAUAAUUUUUAAAGUUUUGGGAACCUAAC
Long non-coding RNA from Equus caballus (horse), 2543 nucleotides. Lineage: Eukaryota; Metazoa; Chordata; Mammalia; Perissodactyla; Equidae. The record is from Ensembl.